AUUGAACGCUGGCGGCAGGCCUAACACAUGCAAGUCGAGCGGAUGAAGGGAGCUUGCUCCUGGAUUCAGCGGCGGACGGGUGAGUAAUGCCUAGGAAUCUGCCUGGUAGUGGGGGAUAACGUCCGGAAACGGGCGCUAAUACCGCAUACGUCCUGAGGGAGAAAGUGGGGGAUCUUCGGACCUCACGCUAUCAGAUGAGCCUAGGUCGGAUUAGCUAGUUGGUGGGGUAAAGGCCUACCAAGGCGACGAUCCGUAACUGGUCUGAGAGGAUGAUCAGUCACACUGGAACUGAAACACGGUCCAGACUCCUACGGGAGGCAGGAGUGGGGAAUAUUGGACAAUGGGCGAAAGCCUGAUCCAGCCAUGCCGCGUGUGUGAAGAAGGUCUUCGGAUUGUUAAGCACUUUAAGUUGGGAGGAAGGGCAGUAAGUUAAUACCUUGCUGUUUUGACGUUACCAACAGAAUAAGCACCGGCUAACUUCGUG
RNAcentral lists this ribosomal RNA (484 nucleotides) under uncultured bacterium. RNAcentral's name for it is "partial 16S ribosomal RNA". It matches the Rfam family "Bacterial small subunit ribosomal RNA", at positions 30 to 507 of the family's 1533-position model. The record is from RNAcentral.